AUUUCAGCUUGUCCGGAUGCCCUCGUGCAAGGAAAGGUGGUGUCAAAAUGACCCCUACCAAGGAAGAAAAAGAAGACCCUGAACUGAAAUGUCCUGUGAUAGGGUGUGAUGGCCAAGGUCACAUAUCAGGUAAAUACACAUCACACCGCACAGCUUCUGGCUGUCCUCUGGCUGCCAAGAGACAGAAGGAGAACCCUCUCAAUGGAGCCUCCCUCUCCUGGAAACUGAACAAGCAAGAGCUACCACAUUGUCCCUUGCCAGGCUGCAAUGGGCUGGGCCAUGUAAAUAAUGUUUUUGUCACCCACCGAAGCUUAUCUGGAUGUCCUCUCAAUGCACAAGCUAUCAAAAAGGGCAAGGUUUCUGAAGAACUCAUGACCAUCAAGCUCAAAGCAACUGGGGGUAAGAGCACAGGGCUGGCUGUCACCACCUCCUCCAGGAUGUAGACCCUGGCUCCCCAAAGAGUUUCGUGUGUCAAAGUAUUCUCUAGGUGGGAAGCAUAAUUUUAAUGUACAAGAAGAAAGGUUUCCUCAGAUUUGAACUAAAAUUAUAACUUUGUUUAAAAACCA
RNAcentral lists this small RNA (566 nucleotides) under Pongo abelii (Sumatran orangutan). RNAcentral describes it as "retained intron". Lineage: Eukaryota; Metazoa; Chordata; Mammalia; Primates; Hominidae. The record is from RNAcentral.